GUCUACGGCCAUACCCACUCUGAACGUGCCCAAUCUCAUCUGAUCUUAGAAGCUAAGCAGGGUUGAGCCUGGUUAGUACUUGGAUGGGAAAAAAUUUACCAAUAAUUUCAGAACAAGUCACCAUUAUUA
Molecule: ribosomal RNA, 129 nt
Filed under: Cebus imitator (Panamanian white-faced capuchin)
Lineage: Eukaryota; Metazoa; Chordata; Mammalia; Primates; Cebidae
Source: RNAcentral